GUGCCUAACACAUGCAAGUCGAGCGAGAAAGGGGCUUCGGCCCUGAGUAAAGCGGCGCACGGGUGAGUAACACGUGGGUAAUCUGCCCUAGAGUGGGGAAUAACACCGGGAAACCGGUGCUAAUACCGCAUACGAUCGCGAUGUCUUCGGAUGUUGUGAUGAAAGGAGCAAUUCGCUCUUGGAGGAGCCCGCGGCUGAUUAGCUAGUUGGUGAGGUAAUGGCUCACCAAGGCUGCGAUCAGUAGCCGGUCUGAGAGGACGGUCGGCCACACUGGAACUGAGACACGGUCCAG
Molecule: ribosomal RNA, 292 nt
Filed under: uncultured bacterium
Lineage: Bacteria
Description: partial 16S ribosomal RNA
Rfam family: Bacterial small subunit ribosomal RNA
Source: RNAcentral